This 24-nucleotide non-coding RNA is filed under the name Cricetulus griseus (Chinese hamster). Lineage: Eukaryota; Metazoa; Chordata; Mammalia; Rodentia; Cricetidae. The record is from RNAcentral.
UCUGAGACUUGCUCAUAAGAGGCU